RNAcentral lists this ribosomal RNA (178 nucleotides) under Klebsiella pneumoniae. RNAcentral describes it as "partial 16S ribosomal RNA". It matches the Rfam family "Bacterial small subunit ribosomal RNA", at positions 1 to 174 of the family's 1533-position model. Lineage: Bacteria; Pseudomonadati; Pseudomonadota; Gammaproteobacteria; Enterobacterales; Enterobacteriaceae. RNAcentral also lists the same sequence under 6 other names. The record is from RNAcentral.
AAAUUGAAGAGUUUGAUCAUGGCUCAGAUUGAACGCUGGCGGCAGGCCUAACACAUGCAAGUCGAGCGGUAGCACAGAGAGCUUGCUCUCGGGUGACGAGCGGCGGACGGGUGAGUAAUGUCUGGGAAACUGCCUGAUGGAGGGGGAUAACUACUGGAAACGGUAGCUAAUACCGCAU